Molecule: ribosomal RNA, 471 nt
Filed under: Lysinibacillus sp.
Lineage: Bacteria; Bacillati; Bacillota; Bacilli; Caryophanales; Bacillaceae
Description: bacterial SSU rRNA
Rfam family: Bacterial small subunit ribosomal RNA
Source: RNAcentral
UGCAGUCGAGCGAACAGAAAGGAGCUUGCUCCUUUGACGUUAGCGGCGGACGGGUGAGUAACACGUGGGCAACCUACCCUAUAGUUUGGGAUAACUCCGGGAAACCGGGGCUAAUACCGAAUAAUCUCUUUUGCUUCAUGGUGAAAGACUGAAAGACGGUUUCGGCUGUCGCUAUAGGAUGGGCCCGCGGCGCAUUAGCUAGUUGGUGAGGUAACGGCUCACCAAGGCGACGAUGCGUAGCCGACCUGAGAGGGUGAUCGGCCACACUGGGACUGAGACACGGCCCAGACUCCUACGGGAGGCAGCAGUAGGGAAUCUUCCACAAUGGGCGAAAGCCUGAUGGAGCAACGCCGCGUGAGUGAAGAAGGUUUUCGGAUCGUAAAACUCUGUUGUAAGGGAAGAACAAGUACAGUAGUAACUGGCUGUACCUUGACGGUACCUUAUUAGAAAGCCACGGCUAACUACGUGCCA